This 466-nucleotide ribosomal RNA is filed under the name uncultured bacterium. RNAcentral describes it as "partial 16S ribosomal RNA". It matches the Rfam family "Bacterial small subunit ribosomal RNA", at positions 28 to 507 of the family's 1533-position model. The record is from RNAcentral.
GACGAACGCUGGCGGCGUGCUUAACACAUGCAAGUCGAACGGGAAGGUCAGUGCUUGCACUGGUACUCGAGUGGCGAACGGGUGAGUAACACGUGGGUGAUCUGCCUUGCACUGUGGGAUAAGCUUGGGAGACUGGGUCUAAUACCGGAUAUGAACUGUCUUCAGUGUGGUGGUUGGAAUGUUUUUUCGGUGCUAGAUGAGCUCGCGGCUUAUCAGCUUGUUGGUGGGGUAUUGGCCUACCAAGGCGUCGACGGGUAGCCGGCCUGAGAUGGGGUACGGCCAAGUUGGAACUGAGAUGCGGCCCAGACUCCUACGGGACGCAGCAGAGGAGAAUAGUGCACAAUGGGCUGAAGCCUGAUCCAGCGAAGCCGUGUGGGGGAUGACGGCCUGCGGUUUGUAAUCUCCUUUCGUCAUGCACGAAGCGUAAGUGACGGUACCUGUAGAAGAAGCACCGGCUAACUACGUG